Molecule: ribosomal RNA, 174 nt
Filed under: uncultured bacterium
Lineage: Bacteria
Description: partial 16S ribosomal RNA
Rfam family: Bacterial small subunit ribosomal RNA
Source: RNAcentral
CCCGCCCAAACNCCNNCGGAAGCNNCCNUUGGGGAANNUUGCACAAUGGGCGCAAGCCUGAUGCAGCCAUGCCGCGUGUGUGAAGAAGGCCUUCGGGUUGUAAAGCACUUUCAGUAAGGAGGAAAGGUUGCAAGUUAAUAGCGUUGAGCUGUGACGGUACUUACAGAAGAAGCA